CGCGUCGUGACCGGAAACGCGUCAUCGCGUCAACGCGUCAUCACCGGUCCAUGUUUACCGAACGCUGUUCGCCAUUCACUAAAUUUCUCGCAGUCUCUGGCAAAAUGAGACGGUUAGAAACAUAUUUCAUGCGACCUGACACGAUCUGAUCUCCAGCGGUUUCCGAUCGCUGGAGAUCGCACGAUCUGGUCUCCACUCUGUCCGCAACGCAACAUGAACACAACCGUGGAGCCGAAGGAGAGCCAGCAGAUGGCGUUGCUGAACUCGGGAGAGGGAGAGAUGGAGUCACGGGGGUCCGCGACCAAGUCACUCGAUGCCAGCGGAAUUCUGGGGCGUAAACUCGACGAGCUGAUCAGGACACUCGGGCAGCGGGAGAGCAAGCUGACCGAGGCCGUUCAGACCCUCGGCACUCUGGGUGAGGAAGUGCGCAGUAUGCGGCUACAGCUCCAGAGGCAGGAAUCCGAGAUUCUGAAGGAUCAGGGAAUGCUGCGGAACAAACAGAACCAGGACGCGACCCGGAAGCAAACAGCACACGCCUUCAAGACCAGCGAGGCCUACAAGCGCAGGGGACCCGGUCAGCCACCAAGCCGAGGAGAGAUGUCCAACUCCCGGCCGCCUCUGAGGAGGCUGUCAGUGAGGCUGGUGGACUGUGGCUGCUCCCUGGGGCCAAACGGGACACUUUCGGUCCUGCGGGGGGACGGCAGGGACUUUCAUGACCCCGAGUCGCGUCGCCAUAUUCUGAACGUUGGUCCCGCAGAGGACCAGGGCGAUGGCGGCAGCACGUCGGGAGAGCCGGCGCAGGAUUCCCUCAUCUGCUCCCUGGAGAGCCUCGCGGGACAUCGGAAGAGCCACCCGGGCGAGCCUGGCCCCCGAAACACUACCGCUGCGCCAAGUCCUUCACCCAGCUGGGCAACCUCAGGCAGCCACCGCGGCGCCAUGAAGCUCCACCUGCGCACCCACGGCGACGAGGAGGUUCCACGGCGGCAAGAAGCCCUGCACGCAGGCCGACGGGAAGACCGAGCUGCGCCAUCGCAGGCGCCCACGGCCUGAUCAGCUCGCCGGUUCCAGCUUCUCUGCACAACCGUGCCGUCUGCGAUGUCACAUUUGCCCGUGGAAUUGCUGUUAAGAAGCAGGCAUAGUGCCGGGAGAAAUGGAGGAGAGGGGAUCUGUUUUGUACCUGUAGCCGUAUUUUGGUCAAAUACAGCACGUUUGUCCAUUGAUUUCAUGCAUGGGGUUUUUCUUUUUUCUUUUUUUACACCACACCCUUGAAAAAUAGGAGCCUCACCAACACUUAGGUUCUAGCGCAUACGUUAGGGCUGCCACACGUCCGUUUAAAUCCGGAAUACGGUGUUUCAUCAGCACAGGGCAGCGUUUGUCCUCCGAUCGGACUGAGUAGUUGAUGUGAACGGCGCGGAUGGAACCACUGUGUGGCAGCGGCAGCCUUGCGGGUACGGAAGCAGAUCGUUCCACAGCUGCGGAGCUCUAUAAGAGAAGGAUCUGCACCCGGCUGUGACCGUCUGUACACUGAGCCACACCCUUCGCACGCAGGGGGCGUGACCGAUUGUAAAUUACCUUAAAGUUCACUGAGGUACUGCAGGGCGAGACCAUUUAGAGCUCUAUAGGUCAAAAGUAGGAUUUUGAAGUCAAUCCUAAAUUUGAAGACUGGGGUGAUGUGGUCAAAUUUCCUGGUUCUGGUUAGAACUCUGGCUGCAGCAUUCUGUACUAGCUGGAGUUUACUCAUGCACCUACUAGAGCAUCCAGACAGUAAUGCGUUGCAGUAAUCUAACCUUGAUGUUAUAAAGGCAUGGACCAACUUUUCUGCAUUGUGCAUUGAGAUCAUGUUUCUUGUUUUUGCAAUAUUCCUGAGGUGAAAGAAUGCUAUUCUAGUGACAUUAUCUACAUACGAAUCGAAUGAGAGACAUGUGUUGAUGAGGACACCUAGAUCCUUCACUUCAGUACUUGGUGAGAUAGAACGGCUAUCCAGGGUUAUGAUGUAGUCAGCCAGCUUACGACUGGCUGCUUGAGGCCCAAGUACGAGACCUUCUGUCUUAUCAGCGUUCAACAGAAGAAAGUUGGUGAGCAUCCACUGUCUAAUGUCCUUCAGACAAUUCUCUAUUCUGUUCAGCUGCUGCCUUUUCUCUGGCAUUGCUGAUAACUGUUUAUCGUCUGCAUCGCAGUGACAUAAAUGAAUGUCGUCUUAUUACCGAUUGGAGUUUGUAAAUUAAAAGAUUUUUUUAUUCUGCUUGUCUUAUGUUUGUUGGUAGCAAAAUAUUUCAGAUAUUAAGAAUGAAUCAAAAUAUUUUAUUGAGGCCAUAGUUUAAAUGUAAAGUUAAAUGUCCCAUAUCAUGAAAUUUUCACUUUGUGAGAUUAUUUAACAAUACGAGUUCCCCUAGCCUGUCUGUGGUAAUGCAGUGGCUAGAAAUGGUGAUCGUAAGUCACUCUGGAUAAGGGUGUCUGAUAAAUGCCGUAAUUGAACCUGGGUCUUCUGGUUUACAUUCGAGUGUCUUACCGAAAUGGCGCAUCAUGGAAACUCAUUGUGGGUCUGGCUAAAAGUGGCUGUAAAUUUGCACCAAGGCUGAAUUUCGGAAAGAGACUUCAGAUACAGUAUUAGGGGACCAAUAAGAUCAAUGAAGUGUAUCGGAAAUAUUUUUAUUUUUCCAAUAGAUGUGUUUCUUUCUUUUUCUGACAUAGAUUCUCAGACCGGCCAGGUAAAUUAAUUAAGUGCACCGCGAC
This is a long non-coding RNA of Denticeps clupeoides (denticle herring), 2733 nucleotides long. NCBI's taxonomy places the organism in Eukaryota, Metazoa, Chordata, Actinopteri, Clupeiformes, Denticipitidae. The record is from Ensembl.